GAAGCGGCAGCCGCGCACGGCCGUGGGUGAGCGCACCUGGGCACAGUCACAUCUCACAGCAGACACCAAAGAAAAUGUAUUUUAAUAAAAGGAGUGAGAAGAAGCUGAGAAGCAAGAAGAUGAUGAUCAGGAGCUCUCUCUAAGGCUGUAACCUAGGAGACCAAGAGAAGAAAGAUAAGAGAUGACCGCCUCAACAGCAACAUUGGCUUCUGAUUGUGAUAACGUGAAUUAUUACAUCUGUAUUGUCUCUCCCUUCAUGUGAGAGUGAAAAUGGAGCACAAGUUUUUGAAACACCUCUCAGCUGCCCCAUCUCUGGGUCAGAAAAGGACCUGAUCCAACAGAAAUGAAGCAGCAGCAGCAGCAGGGACCCCUCUGACCUGGAAGUUGGUGAGCUCCGAGUUCUUCUGCUUCAGGAUGUCGGUCAUGUAAUCGAUCAGGUGCAGCCCAAA
Molecule: long non-coding RNA, 449 nt
Organism: Melospiza melodia melodia
Lineage: Eukaryota; Metazoa; Chordata; Aves; Passeriformes; Passerellidae
Exons: 2
Source: RefSeq, a predicted model, not a curated record